Molecule: ribosomal RNA, 253 nt
Filed under: uncultured bacterium
Lineage: Bacteria
Description: partial 16S ribosomal RNA
Rfam family: Bacterial small subunit ribosomal RNA
Source: RNAcentral
UACGUAGGGGGCAAGCGUUAUCCGGAUUUACUGGGUGUAAAGGGAGCGUAGACGGUAUGGCAAGUCUGAAGUGAAAGCCCAGGGCUUAACCCUGGGACUGCUUUGGAGACUGUUAGACUAGAGUGCUGGAGAGGUAAGUGGAAUUCCUAGUGUAGCGGUGAAAUGCGUAGAUAUUAGGAGGAACACCAGUGGCGAAGGCGGCUUACUGGACAGUAACUGACGUUGAGGCUCGAAAGCGUGGGGAGCAAACAGG